Molecule: ribosomal RNA, 253 nt
Filed under: uncultured bacterium
Lineage: Bacteria
Description: partial 16S ribosomal RNA
Rfam family: Bacterial small subunit ribosomal RNA
Source: RNAcentral
UACGAAGGGGGCUAGCGUUGUUCGGAAUUACUGGGCGUAAAGGGCUCGUAGGCGGCCAACUAAGUCGGAUGUGAAAUCCCCAGGCUUAACCUGGGAACUGCAUCCGAUACUGGAUGGCUUGAAUUCGGGAGAGGGAUGCAGAAUUCCAGGUGUAGCGGUGAAAUGCGUAGAUAUCUGGAGGAAUACCGGUGGCGAAGGCGGCAUCCUGGACCGGCAUUGACGCUGAUGAGCGAAAGCCAGGGGAGCAAACGGG